GCCAGUGUGGCACAGUGGUUUGAGUGCUAGACUGUGACUAUGGAGAUAAGGAUUCGAAUCCCAGCUCAUGGCU
Molecule: non-coding RNA, 73 nt
Organism: Phrynosoma platyrhinos (Desert horned lizard)
Lineage: Eukaryota; Metazoa; Chordata; Lepidosauria; Squamata; Phrynosomatidae
Source: the annotation of a GenBank genome assembly